RNAcentral lists this transfer RNA (72 nucleotides) under Fasciola hepatica (liver fluke). It matches the Rfam family "tRNA". From Rfam's summary of the family: Transfer RNA (tRNA) molecules are approximately 80 nucleotides in length. Their secondary structure includes four short double-helical elements and three loops (D, anti-codon, and T loops). Lineage: Eukaryota; Metazoa; Platyhelminthes; Trematoda; Plagiorchiida; Fasciolidae. The record is from Rfam by way of RNAcentral.
ACUGCGAUAGCUCAGCUGGUAGAGCAUCUGCCCAGUAUGCGGGGGUCGCCGGUUUGGUUCCGGCUCGCGGCG